CUAACACAACAAUCUGGUCUUUGACAACUGAUCAUGGUAAUAUCUGGCUUCAAGGACGAGUCUCAAUUUUAAGUUCUAAAAAUUACUAUAUUAUAUUUGAGGGUAUACGAGGUUCAAGUUAUACAGGUGAUAUAGCUGUUGAUGACAUCACAUUUACAGAUUCGUACUGUACAGUUCUACCAAAUGAUGCUGCAGCCAAUUCUUUACCUGGUUUAUCAACAAUUCCACCAACUACUGUUCCUACACAAG
Patella vulgata (common limpet) is the source of this 249-nucleotide long non-coding RNA. RefSeq lists it as uncharacterized. The record is from RefSeq and is a predicted model, not a curated record. NCBI's taxonomy places the organism in Eukaryota, Metazoa, Mollusca, Gastropoda, Patellidae. The transcript is spliced from 3 exons.